RNAcentral lists this ribosomal RNA (478 nucleotides) under uncultured bacterium. RNAcentral's name for it is "partial 16S ribosomal RNA". It matches the Rfam family "Bacterial small subunit ribosomal RNA", at positions 28 to 523 of the family's 1533-position model. The record is from RNAcentral.
GACGAACGCUGGCGGCGUGCUUAACACAUGCAAGUCGAACGGUAAGGCCCUUCGGGGUACACGAGUGGCGAACGGGUGAGUAACACGUGGGUGAUCUGCCCUGCACUUCGGGAUAAGCCUGGGAAACUGGGUCUAAUACCGGAUAGGACCACUGCCUGCAUGGGUGGUGGUGGAAAGCUUUUGCGGUGUGGGAUGGGCCCGCGGCCUAUCAGCUUGUUGGUGGGGUGAUGGCCUACCAAGGCGACGACGGGUAGCCGGCCUGGGAGGGUGACCGGCCGCACUGGGACUGAGAUACGGCCCAGACUGCUACGGGAGGCAGCAGUGGGGAAUAUUGAACAAGGGGCGCAAGCCUGAUGCAGCGACACCGCGUGAGGGAUGACGGCCUUCGGGUUGUAAACCUCUUUCAGCACCGACGAAGCGCAAGUGACGGUAGGUGCAGAAGAAGGACCGGCCAACUACGUGCCAGCCGCCGCGGUAA